This 451-nucleotide long non-coding RNA is filed under the name Homo sapiens (human). RNAcentral describes it as "non-protein coding lnc-IL17RA-36:6". Lineage: Eukaryota; Metazoa; Chordata; Mammalia; Primates; Hominidae. The record is from RNAcentral.
CGGCGCGUCCGCGGGCGGCGGGAGCUUCGCAUGCGCGGAGCGAGGCCCGAUGUCGUCGGAGGAGAACAAGUGCGUGGAGCAGCCGCAGCCACCACCCCCCGAGGAGCCUGGAGCCCCGGCCCCGAGCCCCCCAGCCGCAGACAAAAGACCUCGGGGCCGGCCUCGCAAGGCGCUUCCCCUUUCCAGAGAGCCAGAAAGAAGUAAGUUGAGUGCGAUUUGACUGUAAUUUUCCAUUACCUUCCCAAAUCCUAUAAAACAGCCCCACCCCUAUCUCCCUUCACUUGACUCUCUUUUCAGACUCAGCCCACCUGCACCCAGGUGAAAUAAACAGCUUUAUUGCUCACACGAAGCCUGUUUGGUGGUCUCUUCACACGGAUGCGCAUGAAAUUUGGUGCCGUGACUUGGAUCGGGGGACCUCCCUUAGGAGAUCAAUCCCCCGUCCUCCUGCUCU